UUACCCCUCUCGCCUUUUUAGUAGUAUAAAACACUUUAUAAGCAUUUCGUAGUGUUAUUGAAUGUUUGAAAGCCGCUUGCAGCGUAGCAAGCUGGGAUGUAAACGAAUAGAAUGGAGACCUCAUCUAAAGAAGAGUACACGAUCCAGUCGUUUGAUUUGGAGACACAGAAACUCCUCAAAACUGCCUUGAAAGAUCCAGGUUCAGUUGACCUGGAGAAAGUGUCCAAUGUAAUAGUGGACCAGUCUCUGAAGGACCAGAUCUUCAG
Sinocyclocheilus anshuiensis is the source of this 266-nucleotide long non-coding RNA. RefSeq lists it as uncharacterized. Lineage: Eukaryota; Metazoa; Chordata; Actinopteri; Cypriniformes; Cyprinidae. The transcript is spliced from 3 exons. The record is from RefSeq and is a predicted model, not a curated record.